AUUGAACGCUGGCGGCAGGCCUAACACAUGCAAGUCGAGCGGAUGAAGGGAGCUUGCUCCUAGAUUCAGCGGCGGACGGGUGAGUAAUGCCUAGGAAUCUGCCUGGUAGUGGGGGAUAACGUCCGGAAACGGGCGCUAAUACCGCAUACGUCCUGAGGGAGAAAGUGGGGGAUCUUCGGACCUCACGCUAUCAGAUGAGCCUAGGUCGGAUUAGCUAGUUGGUGGGGUAAAGGCCUACCAAGGCGACGAUCCGUAACUGGUCUGAGAGGAUGAUCAGUCACACUGGAACUGAGACACGGUCCAGACUCCUACGGGAGGCAGCAGUGGGGAAUAUUGGACAAUGGGCGAAAGCCUGAUCCAGCCAUGCCGCGUGUGUGAAGAAGGUCUUCGGAUUGUAAAGCACUUUAAGUCGGGAGGAAGGGCAGUAAGUUAAUACCUUGCUGUUUUGACGUUACCAACAGAAUAAGCACCGGCUAACUUCGUG
Molecule: ribosomal RNA, 484 nt
Filed under: uncultured bacterium
Lineage: Bacteria
Description: partial 16S ribosomal RNA
Rfam family: Bacterial small subunit ribosomal RNA
Source: RNAcentral